RNAcentral lists this ribosomal RNA (253 nucleotides) under uncultured bacterium. RNAcentral's name for it is "partial 16S ribosomal RNA". It matches the Rfam family "Bacterial small subunit ribosomal RNA", at positions 524 to 776 of the family's 1533-position model. The record is from RNAcentral.
UACGAAGGGGGCUAGCGUUGUUCGGAAUUACUGGGCGUAAAGCGCGAGCAGGCGGUCUUCCAAGUCAGUGGUGAAAGCCCGGAGCUCAACUCCGGAACUGCCAUUGAAACUGUAAGACUUGAGGAUGAGAGAGGUGAGUGGAAUUCCCAGUGUAGAGGUGAAAUUCGUAGAUAUUGGGAAGAACACCGGUGGCGAAGGCGGCUCACUGGCUCAUUUCUGACGCUCAGGCGCGACAGCGUGGGGAUCAAACAGG